Molecule: ribosomal RNA, 404 nt
Filed under: uncultured bacterium
Lineage: Bacteria
Description: partial 16S ribosomal RNA
Rfam family: Bacterial small subunit ribosomal RNA
Source: RNAcentral
UGGGGAAUUUUGGACAAUGGGCGAAAGCCUGAUCCAGCAAUGCCGCGUGUGUGAAGAAGGCCUUCGGGUUGUAAAGCACUUUUGUCCGGAAAGAAAUCCUUGGCUCUAAUACAGUCGGGGGAUGACGGUACCGGAAGAAUAAGCACCGGCUAACUACGUGCCAGCAGCCGCGGUAAUACGUAGGGUGCAAGCGUUAAUCGGAAUUACUGGGCGUAAAGCGUGCGCAGGCGGUUUGCUAAGACCGAUGUGAAAUCCCCGGGCUCAACCUGGGAACUGCAUUGGUGACUGGCAGGCUAGAGGUAUGGCAGAGGGGGUAGGAAUUCCACGUGUAGCAGUGAAAUGCGUAGGAGAUGUGGAGGAAUACCGAUGGCGAAGGCAGCCCCCUGGGCAAUACUGACGCUGCA